This 85-nucleotide ribosomal RNA is filed under the name uncultured fungus. RNAcentral describes it as "partial 5.8S ribosomal RNA". It matches the Rfam family "5.8S ribosomal RNA", at positions 72 to 154 of the family's 154-position model. Rfam says of the family: 5.8S ribosomal RNA (5.8S rRNA) is a component of the large subunit of the eukaryotic ribosome. It is transcribed by RNA polymerase I as part of the 45S precursor that also contains 18S and 28S rRNA. Lineage: Eukaryota; Fungi. The record is from RNAcentral.
UAGCAGAAUUCAGUGAAUCAUCGAAUCUUUGAACGCACCUUGCGCUCCUUGGUAUUCCGAGGAGCAUGCCUGUUUGAGUGUCAUU